AGUUAAACAGUACGUGAAAUUGUUGAAAGGGAAACGAUUGAAGCCAGUCGUACCUAUGGGUAAUCAGCCUUUUGGGUGUGAUUUUGUGGAGCGUGAGGAGUUAAACGCCUUCAUGCCUGCAUAUUCGUGCACUUUGGGUGUACUUGCCCGUGUGUAAGUUAACAUCAAUUUUGGUGGUCAUAAAAUGGCUGGAGGAAUGUAGCUUUGAUCUUGUAUUGAAGUGUUAUAGCCUUCGGUAGAUGUGACGAUCGGGAUUGAGGAUUGCAACGGAUACCCUUCGGGGCUACCUGUCUGAUCUCUGAUUGUUGCUCUGGUGCCGAAAGCUUGCUUACGGUUAUCAAAGUCGAUGUUCAAUAGGUUAGAAUUGGUUAAAUUCGUUAAGGAUGUUGACGUAAUGGCUUUAAA
Molecule: unclassified non-coding RNA, 405 nt
Filed under: uncultured Rhizophagus
Lineage: Eukaryota; Fungi; Glomeromycota; Glomeromycetes; Glomerales; Glomeraceae
Description: sequence contains 28S rRNA gene
Source: RNAcentral